Molecule: long non-coding RNA, 221 nt
Organism: Symphalangus syndactylus (siamang)
Lineage: Eukaryota; Metazoa; Chordata; Mammalia; Primates; Hylobatidae
Source: RefSeq, a predicted model, not a curated record
UGUUUUCUGGAAGAAGAGAAUUUUAGAAGAAUUGCCCAGUAAAGUAUUGUAUAUCACCAAAUAGCUAGAAGACGUGCUUUUGUAUAUCCUCACUGCAAAGAAAUUGUAAAUGCAUCAGCUGAUGGAAUCCAACAAAGGAGAAUGAGAAUGAGUGGCUAGUAAGUAGGAAAGACUAAGCCAAAUAAGAUUUGAACUGAAGCUCAACCACUGGAUUUGUCAAU